CGUCCCUCCUCCUUCCCCAAGUCAACCUCACAUCCCAGGCCUGGGGAGCUAUUCUCUCGCAAGAAAGGAGUGAGACGUGAUCCGAGACCUGCGGCAAGGGGCGUGUUUCGGAAAGGGUGUGGAGGGAGACCUGGGGCGGGGCCUGUUUCCCAGUCACGCGACCUAGGAGCCGCCCGAGGAUUGGUCCUGACUACACGCUGGGAGAAAAGGAGG
This is a non-coding RNA of Equus caballus (horse), 213 nucleotides long. NCBI's taxonomy places the organism in Eukaryota, Metazoa, Chordata, Mammalia, Perissodactyla, Equidae. The record is from RefSeq and is a predicted model, not a curated record.